GGAAAAAAUACCAAAUGUGCAGUUUUAAUGUUGCCACAUGGUAACAAUAGAGGAUAAUUCACCUGAGAUUAUUAAGUGCAAUGGAUUGUCCACAAGGGAGAACAUUUCUAAGCCAGUACACAGCUCAGUGAAAGGCCAAUGAAACGGCAUCUGCUGUUGACCUGUUGUGACAGUAGACAAACUGGAGAAGAUCCAGGUCUCUCCUCAGGCAAGAUUUGAUAUGCUUCACAACCAGCUUCUCGAAGCUCUUCAUCACAGUGCUACUGGAUGAUAGUCAUUGAGAUCCAAAUUGGACGGUACACAGCAAGCAAUUGGAUCAGAGUUUGUAUCAGUAGAUUAAAAGGCUCAAAGGUUCAUUUUAUUGUCAAAAUAUUCAUGUACAAUACAACUCUGAUAUUCAUCUUCUCCAGAUAGCCAUGAAAUACAGAAAAACCAUGGGCGUUUUUGAAAGAAAAGACAACAAGUACCAACCCCCCUGCACAAAAAAUCAAAACAAAGCUCAGAAACAAACCCCAGAAACCCUCUCCCUCACAGAGGAAAAAACAUUGACAAUAAUAUAAAAUUCCCAACCUCCUCCUCCUCAAAAAAAUCAGACAAAUAGCAUCAAAUCCCUGACACCUUCCCUCAAAGAAAAGCACAGCAACAAGAUAGUCAAAUCCCCAACACACAAAAAAAAUAACAGAUUCAUCCACAUGGAAAAACACCAAGAAAAUCGUACCCCAAAUCCCUAGCCCCUUCCUCUCACAAAAGCUAACAUAUUGCACACCUGCCAAUAGGCCACCAGAAAGAAAACACUGAAAAGCUGAAUGAGACCAAUAUAAAGUAGUCCAAUAAUCACAUAAAUCUCAGAAUAUCAAAAACAUCUCGUCAUCAUACAAGGAGAGCAGCCACCCAAACUCAGACCUUCCACGAGAAGCAUCCGGCACACUGGGUCUGAUCACUGCUGACCUGGCUGCCAACUGUCACCGCCCACAAGACCCCCAUUAAGAGGAAUUGCUGACCCCCUCCACAAUCCCCUGUGUGCUUCAAUCUUCCUGAAUAUUUGACAUGGUGCCCCGUCUCUCAUUGUUCCAGUUCAUUUUCUCAGUCUGUUUUGAAACCCUGUCUCUGGUCUUCUCCUUGAGGCAGCUCUCUGGAUACAGCAGAGUGCAAAGUCAUUUGAUCGAUUUCAAAACCGCAAGUCACAGCCUCUAACAGUUUCGGUAACACAAUCAAGACAAAAAGAACAA
Molecule: long non-coding RNA, 1229 nt
Organism: Hypanus sabinus (Atlantic stingray)
Lineage: Eukaryota; Metazoa; Chordata; Chondrichthyes; Myliobatiformes; Dasyatidae
Exons: 3
Source: RefSeq, a predicted model, not a curated record